AACGAACGCUGGCGGCAUGCCUAACACAUGCAAGUCGAACGAGACCUUCGGGUCUAGUGGCGCACGGGUGCGUAACGCGUGGGAAUCUGCCCUUCGGUUCGGAAUAACAGUGGGAAACUACUGCUAAUACCGGAUAAUGACGUAAGUCCAAAGAUUUAUCGCCGAAGGAUGAGCCCGCGUAGGAUUAGCUAGUUGGUGGGGUAAAGACCUACCAAGGCGACGAUCCUUAGCUGGUCUGAGAGGAUGAUCAGCCACACUGGGACUGAGACACGGCCCAGACUCCUACGGGAGGCAGCAGUGGGGAAUAUUGGACAAUGGGCGAAGCCUGAUCCAGCAAUGCCGCGUGAGUGAUGAAGGCCUUAGGUUGUAAAGCUCUUUUACCCGGGAUGAUAAUGACAGUACCGGGAGAAUAAGCUCCGGCUAACUCCGU
This 430-nucleotide ribosomal RNA is filed under the name uncultured bacterium. Its description in RNAcentral is "bacterial SSU rRNA". It matches the Rfam family "Bacterial small subunit ribosomal RNA", at positions 29 to 506 of the family's 1533-position model. The record is from RNAcentral.